AAAUUGAAGAGUUUGAUCAUGGCUCAGAUUGAACGCUGGCGGCAGGCCUAACACAUGCAAGUCGAGCGGUAGCACAGAGAGCUUGCUCUCGGGUGACGAGCGGCGGACGGGUGAGUAAUGUCUGGGAAACUGCCUGAUGGAGGGGGAUAACUACUGGAAACGGUAGCUAAUACCGCAUAACGUCGCAAGACCAAAGUGGGGGACCUUCGGGCCUCAUGCCAUCAGAUGUGCCCAGAUGGGAUUAGCUAGUAGGUGGGGUAACGGCUCACCUAGGCGACGAUCCCUAGCUGGUCUGAGAGGAUGACCAGCCACACUGGAACUGAGACACGGUCCAGACUCCUACGGGAGGCAGCAGUGGGGAAUAUUGCACAAUGGGCGCAAGCCUGAUGCAGCCAUGCCGCGUGUGUGAAGAAGGCCUUCGGGUUGUAAAGCACUUUCAGCGGGGAGGAAGGCGUUAAGGUUAAUAACCUUGGCGAUUGACGUUACCCGCAGAAGAAGCACCGGCUAACUCCGUGCCAGCAGCCGCGGUAAUACGGAGGGUGCAAGCGUUAAUCGGAAUUACUGGGCGUAAAGCGCACGCAGGCGGUCUGUCAAGUCGGAUGUGAAAUCCCCGGGCUUCAACCUGGGAACUGCAUUCGAAACUGGCAGGCUAGAGUCUUGUAGAGGGGGGUAGAAUUCCAGGUGUAGCGGUGAAAUGCGUAGAGAUCUGGAGGAAUACCGGUGGCGAAGGCGGCCCCCUGGACAAAGACUGACGCUCAGGUGCGAAAGCGUGGGGAGCAAACAGGAUUAGAUACCCUGGUAGUCCACGCCGUAAACGAUGUCGAUUUGGAGGUUGUGCCCUUGAGGCGUGGCUUCCGGAGCUAACGCGUUAAAUCGACCGCCUGGGGAGUACGGCCGCAAGGUUAAAACUCAAAUGAAUUGACGGGGGCCCGCACAAGCGGUGGAGCAUGUGGUUUAAUUCGAUGCAACGCGAAGAACCUUACCUGGUCUUGACAUCCACAGAACUUUCCAGAGAUGGAUUGGUGCCUUCGGGAACUGUGAGACAGGUGCUGCAUGGCUGUCGUCAGCUCGUGUUGUGAAAUGUUGGGUUAAGUCCCGCAACGAGCGCAACCCUUAUCCUUUGUUGCCAGCGGUCCGGCCGGGAACUCAAAGGAGACUGCCAGUGAUAAACUGGAGGAAGGUGGGGAUGACGUCAAGUCAUCAUGGCCCUUACGACCAGGGCUACACACGUGCUACAAUGGCAUAUACAAAGAGAAGCGACCUCGCGAGAGCAAGCGGACCUCAUAAAGUAUGUCGUAGUCCGGAUUGGAGUCUGCAACUCGACUCCAUGAAGUCGGAAUCGCUAGUAAUCGUAGAUCAGAAUGCUACGGUGAAUACGUUCCCGGGCCUUGUACACACCGCCCGUCACACCAUGGGAGUGGGUUGCAAAAGAAGUAGGUAGCUUAACCUUCGGGAGGGCGCUUACCACUUUGUGAUUCAUGACUGGGGUGAAGUCGUAACAAGGUAACCGUAGGGGAACCUGCGGUUGGAUCACCUCCUUACCUUAAAGAA
RNAcentral lists this ribosomal RNA (1551 nucleotides) under Klebsiella pneumoniae. RNAcentral describes it as "bacterial SSU rRNA". It matches the Rfam family "Bacterial small subunit ribosomal RNA". The record is from RNAcentral. Lineage: Bacteria; Pseudomonadati; Pseudomonadota; Gammaproteobacteria; Enterobacterales; Enterobacteriaceae.